CAAAUUUGCUGCUUCUUGUCUGUCAAUUCGGAUCGUUACCCACAAAGAAACGAACCUCAACAGACCUAGAAUGUGAGGAUGGCUGAUGAAGAUUUGGAAGGUCGUAGUGUUUCUUUUAUGGUUUGUUGUACGGUCCAUUGAAGCUUUGAGUAAAAUGAGGCAGUGACACAAUUUCUUGGUACACUUCCAUCAUAAAUCAGGACCAUCUUAAGACAAAAAUCCAACAAUGAAGCCGACUGUAAGAGAGCACAGCCUGGUGCUGGUAAAGACACCCUCUCUGUGAGCAUCCGGGGAUCCAGUGUCUUGGCUUUGUGAUUAGUUGGUAUACUAGCGUGGUUUGUUUUUAGCCAAGAGCUGGGGAAACUUUCCGUUUUUAAUUUUUUUAAAGUUGAUUUUACAUCACUGCUAAUACUAUCUAAGUUGGUGCAGUUUGUUGCACUAGCGUGGUUGUCUUCAGCCAAGAAGCUAGUAUACCUACACUCGGAACACUCAUGCCUCCUCUACAUUCCCCGAGUGGAUCCCCGGUCGGCAGCAGAAGCUGAGCCGAUCUGGCCAAGAAAAUAUCCGAAGUGGAAAGUAGGAAAAGUCU
Molecule: long non-coding RNA, 589 nt
Organism: Paramormyrops kingsleyae
Lineage: Eukaryota; Metazoa; Chordata; Actinopteri; Osteoglossiformes; Mormyridae
Source: RefSeq, a predicted model, not a curated record